RNAcentral lists this ribosomal RNA (199 nucleotides) under uncultured bacterium. Its description in RNAcentral is "partial 16S ribosomal RNA". It matches the Rfam family "Bacterial small subunit ribosomal RNA", at positions 328 to 538 of the family's 1533-position model. The record is from RNAcentral.
ACGCUCGACACCUACGGAGGCAGCAGUGGGGAAUAUUGCACAAUGGGGGAAACCCUGAUGCAGCGACGCCGCGUGAGCGAAGAAGUAUUUCGGUAUGUAAAGCUCUAUCAGCAGGAAAGAAGAAAGACGGUACCUGACUAAGAAGCCCCGGCUAACUACGUGCCAACAGCCGCGGUAAUCUGAGCGGGCGUGGCAAGGC